CUUAGCAGAGAUGCUUUGGUGCCUUCGGGAACUCUGAGACAGGUGCUGCAUGGCUGUCGUCAGCUCGUGUUGUGAAAUGUUGGGUUAAGUCCCGCAACGAGCGCAACCCUUAUCCUUUGUUGCCAGCGGCUCGGCCGGGAACUCAAAGGAGACUGCCGGUGAUAAACCGGAGGAAGGUGGGGAUGACGUCAAGUCAUCAUGGCCCUUACGGCCAGGGCUACACACGUGCUACAAUGGCGCAUACAAAGAGAAGCGACCUCGCGAGAGCAAGCGGACCUCAUAAAGUAGCGUCGUAGUCCGGAUUGGAGUCUGCAACUCGACUCCAUGAAGUCGGAAUCGCUAGUAAUCGUAGAUCAGAAUGCUACGGUGAAUACGUUCCCGGGCCUUGUACACACCGCCCGUCACACCAUGGGAGUGGGUUGCAAAAGAAGUAGGUAGCUUAACCUUCGGGAGGGCGCUUACCACUUUGUGAUUCAUGACUGGGGUGAAGUCGUAACAAGGUAAGCGUAGCGAG
RNAcentral lists this ribosomal RNA (514 nucleotides) under uncultured bacterium. RNAcentral's name for it is "bacterial SSU rRNA". It matches the Rfam family "Bacterial small subunit ribosomal RNA", at positions 996 to 1509 of the family's 1533-position model. The record is from RNAcentral.